CUCUGUUUUUCUCCCUUACAAAAGCUCUCAGAACAAUCUAUGAAUGAUAAUGAAUAAUUAAUUCCUAGAAUAAUGUAUUUCUCUCCUAAAAGAGUUGACAUUUCCUUAAUUGGUCAUUCUCAUCCAAUGCAGAAAAGCAAUUCCAAGGCAGACCCAAAAUGGCAAAAACAGCUGGCCUUCAAAACAGCACUUUUGACCCAAAAAUCAGUUUGCUGGAUUCGCAGGGUUCGCGGGGCGAACUGGUCCUGUCAUGCAGUUCGCGGGGCGAACUUUGUUCGCGGGGCGAACUGAAGCUGCCUCAGUUUCCUUGUUUUGCAAGCUUCAUCCAAAAUCUUCCAUAUUAUGAUGCUGCAAUCCAAAGCUUUCUCAUCCAAAAAUUCUACAAAACUAACAAAUAUGUGAAAUAACUAUUCAAAACAAAAUAAAUUAAACCUAAUUGCAUUUAUACAAAAUAGUGAGAAUAAAAGUGUGUAAUUACAUCAAAACUUGGUAAAAGGGACCAAUAAAAUGGUAUAAAAAGUAGUACUAAUUGGUCCCUAACAAUUAUGUGCCAAAAUUGCAAAACAAAGGGGGAGGUAUACAAAAAUAAGAGGAUAUUUCAACUUGGAACAAAAACAGAAAAAAAAAUGGGGUUUCAUCAUAAAAGAGGGGUAUAUUCUGAAGAAGAUUUCAUCUAGGAACUUGGUUGAGUUUUGAUGAAGACAACAAUAUCAACAAAGAAGAAAAAGAUGAAUGUGACAUUUAACCAAUAUAAAAAUGGCAAGGAUCGUCUAAGUUAAGGUUAAGCAUGCCUUUACUUUAAUAUAUCACCAUUCAACUUAUAUGUCACUUAAAAGUCUCAUAAAACUUCAUUUAAUCAUAAGAUAACUUGUUUACAAAGUUAAAAGAUAGAACCCAUUAAAGAAAUAUGUUUAAUUUAAUUUUUAAAAGAAAGCAAAUGUUGUAAUUGUUGGGUUUGGGUUCCAUUCCUACGUGGAGAAAAGCCCAAAUAUGAUUAGCCCAUUUGUAUCACUUAUUUAAGUGGAGAGGUUCAACUUAGGGUUGAGAGAGAUAGAGUGAAAAUAAGGAUUCAAAAGAGAGAAAAGAGGAGAAACACUCAUUCCUGUUUUUCUGCAAUCAGUCUCAUUAAAUCAAUGAUCUUCGAUUUGUUAAACAUUGGAUCGAGCUCAAAUUUGGAGGGAAGGUUCGUAAACAUAUACUAGGAUCUGGUGGGCACUAUAUGCUUAGGAUAAUGCUAGGUGAUGAGUGACAAGGUACGAGCCAUACACUUAGGAAUGGGACUAAGUGUUGGUGAGCGGGUUUGGAUGCGUUAUAUAGAGUAUGAUGUUCUUUAUGCUAUGUUGAACUAAGAUGGUUGGGUAAUUGGUAAAAAUGAACCAUAAUUACCGUGUUAUGUCUAAACUUGGUGUUGGAUAUGGAUGCGUGUAUAUCAUCCUACAUGAUGGAUACCCAGUUGACUAGUAUCAUAGGUUAGUAACAUAAUAAGUGUGAUUAAGGUUAUGAGAUGCUAAGAAUGUCACAUAAAAACCUAGAUUAAUCAUAUACAAUUACGGAGAAUCAUGGACGACACUCUUAUGUUUUUAUUAUAUUCAUAAAGAGUUGAACUGGAAGGACCUACAGAGUGUCACAAUAUCUCUACUGGGCACAAGCUACACGAAUUAUCCCUUCAUCCAGGUGUGGGAUUUGUGAAGAUCUCAGUCUCGACGUGUCAUUCUUGAUGUUGCAAAACUAUGUGUUACUAGCCUAUUCUGUUACACUUAUUUAUAGAUGCUACAAAAUUAUGUGUCACUGGCCUUUUCUGUGACGGUUCAAAAAACUAUCGCCCAAACCGUCGUAAAUUUUUACGACAGUUAUGGAAUUGACUUUAACAAUAUAAAUUUGACGGUUUUAACUGUCGUCAAAUUAUAAUGAUGUUUUGUAAAGUUGUAAGAGUCCAAACUAUCAUAAAUUUCCUUUUGAGAAAUCAUUAACAUAUAUUUUGUAACCAUUUAAAGUGAUGUUAUACAUUCAUUAUAUUUUUUACUUUAGCACCAUUAACCUGUAGGAAUCAGACUAAAGGAUCAGGCUAGAUCUUAGACUGUUAGUAUCACUAAUAAUGAAUCAAAGGGCACCAAAAUAAACCAAAAACCACAACCAACCUUACAAACAAGACAAACCUUUUAUCGAUUUUUGAUGUUUUUAUUUAAACAUAGGAUAAGAUUUUCAAAUUAGUUUGAGAAAAUUAAUGAAUUUAUCAAUGUUUUAUCUAAAAAUUAAUUUUUGAUCAACUAAAUACUUUUAUCCUCCUCCCCCUCUUUCUCCUUUGAUGAAACAACAUUGAAGAUACCUUCAUUAAUUGACCAAACAACAUAACAUGUCAAAUCAUGUGAGGCUUGGUCGUUCAUCCCAACCAACAGUUGGGAUCUAUUUCUAUUUUUAUUGUAGUGAUAAUAUACAAAAUGUAUAAAUUCUUACUUCAAAUAUAUAAUGAUUGCUUCUUACGGUUUGCACCAACAUGCUAAAGAGAACAACUACACACAUUGAUUAAUAAAGA
This 2533-nucleotide long non-coding RNA is filed under the name Lathyrus oleraceus (garden pea). RNAcentral describes it as "Pisum sativum (pea) long non-coding RNA (PSAT_LNC008984)". The record is from RNAcentral. Lineage: Eukaryota; Viridiplantae; Streptophyta; Magnoliopsida; Fabales; Fabaceae.